Molecule: ribosomal RNA, 497 nt
Filed under: uncultured bacterium
Lineage: Bacteria
Description: partial 16S ribosomal RNA
Rfam family: Bacterial small subunit ribosomal RNA
Source: RNAcentral
GACGAACGCUGGCGGCGUGCCUAAUACAUGCAAGUUGAGCGCUGAAGGUUGGUACUUGUACCAACUGGAUGAGCAGCGAACGGGUGAGUAACGCGUGGGGAAUCUGCCUUUGAGCGGGGGACAACAUUUGGAAACGAAUGCUAAUACCGCAUAAAAACUUUAAACACAAGUUUUAAGUUUGAAAGAUGCAAUUGCAUCACUCAAAGAUGAUCCCGCGUUGUAUUAGCUAGUUGGUGAGGUAAAGGCUCACCAAGGCGAAGAUACAUAGCCGACCUGAGAGGGUGGUCGGCCACAUUGGGACUGAGACACGGCCCAAACUCCUACGGGAGGCAGCAGUAGGGAAUCUUCGGCAAUGGACGAAAGGCUGACCGAGCAACGCCGCGUGAGUGAAGAAGGUUUUCGGAUCGUAAAACUCUGUUGGUAGAGAAGAACGUUGGUGAGAGUGGAAAGCUCAUCAAGUGACGGUAACUACCCAGAAAGGGACGGCUAACUACGUG